This is a long non-coding RNA of Salvia splendens (bonfire salvia), 613 nucleotides long. RefSeq lists it as uncharacterized. The record is from RefSeq and is a predicted model, not a curated record. The transcript is spliced from 2 exons. Lineage: Eukaryota; Viridiplantae; Streptophyta; Magnoliopsida; Lamiales; Lamiaceae.
CAAAAAUUCAACGCGUAGUUUGACUUCCUCACAAUCGGACAACACCGCAUGUUCUUUUUGACUUUUAUUGAUCAACCAAACAUUAUUUUCUCAAUAGAUUCCUAAACCCUCUAUCAAAGUCAAAUCACUUGUGAUUUAGUUUUUCAUCUAAUUUUGUCAUGGCAAUAAGCAACCCUCUGAAAUCCGUGAAGGUGGCACUUCUCCUCUUCGUCUUUGUCUUCAUCUUAACACCGAUUUUCCCAGCCGCCGACGCAGCUCGAUUUACUGAGGUGCUUGCGAAGAUUCCUAGGUGUCCGGCUUGUUUAUGCUGUGAGCCUCCACCGCCGGGAAUGUGCUGCCGUUGUUGUGCUUCUUCUUCACCCUCUGGGGUUAAGACUAACAAUGGCUUUCCAUGAUAAGCUCUAAAGUAGUGGGGGAUUUUCGAUUUUGGACGUGAUAAAUAAUUACAACAAUUUGGAGCUUCGAAAUCUGAGCAUCAGCAUCUAAAGAUUACGAAAAAUCUUCUUGUUUAUGUAUGUUAUGUUCUGCUUCUUCUUUCAAUCUUCGCGGUUAAGACUAAUAAUGUAUUAUCUCCUAAACUUCUUUUUAAUGAGUUUAUUUGAUUAGUCUGGUA